AAGAAAGAGGAGGAGAGGAAGUGGUGGAGAAGAAGGAGGAGGGAGAGGAAGAGGAGAAGGAGGAGGAGAAGGAGGAGGAGCACCAGGAGCUAAAUCCCUGACUUCCCUAUCUCUGUGAGUAUUGCUGACUGAUUACUUCUGGAGCCAGAUAGCACACUGAGAACCAAUUAUGAAAAUGAUUUAACUGAAUAUUAACAUCCAUGGAAGGCAUAUCAAUAUUCCUGAGGGGAUUCAUCCUUGGGAGACAGAGCUACAUGGUAGAGGCAGCAGCUUAGUAUGUUCUUAAUGAGGAACACCUUCUCAAAGCUGAUGAUGUAAUAGGUCUGAAGGAACAUUUCUUGGGAGUCCGGGACCCAUCCCCUUCUGUCAGGGAUCACAGUGCUCCUGUCCUUGAAUACUGCUUGAGAGUGGUGGUAUUGCUUGCUUUCAUUCUAGCAGUAUGACCCUGACCACUGCUCCUUGCUUAGUCACUGAGUUCCUGGUCUUUCCCAGCCACUGACUGGAUAGGAACAGCAUAGACAUUGCAGCUACAUAUGGGAGCUCCUCUGCUGCACUGAUAACCAGGGAACACAUCAGAGAACUAACAUAGUGGGACCACCCGAGUUGGAGGCUCAGGACAGUCGAGUCUGGAUUCACUUUCUUCUGCAUGAGGCAGUAGACAAAAGCCUGGCUUUGGGAGAGCCCUUGUGUGGUGAAUGACAGAAACAGCACCAAAGACCCUGAGAUGAACUCAGAGCUCAGGGACAUCCUGGUACUACUGCCUACCUUGGAACAACUGUGGUUGUCAGUGCAGGUCACAGCCACAGGACAAGAGCUCUUCCAGCAGGUGUGUGACAUGGCACACAUUAGAGAAGCUCACUUUUUUAGCCUCAGUGUACUCAGAGCCUUGCAAACAGACAAAGAUGCAACCUGCAAGGGGGUAGCCUUGGUGCUGCCCAAAGACCCACUCUUGUCUCCAAUUUUUAAAGACUCCACUGAGAGAGGACCUGACUUGCUGCACACUGAAGCCACAGUGUACAGGCAGGAGUGUGUGCCUGUUUCUGUGUAUGCACUUGCAAGUGACAGACCACCACGACUGCUCAGGAUGACUCUGUAGCUAAGAGACAAGAUGUCACAGCCUAAAGAACCAUUACAAGGGGUUGCUAGGAGACUGAUGGGGACAAAGUCCAUUCACAGUUGCCUAGCUGUCAUGGGAAUGUAGAGCUCAUUCACCAAGAGUGAUUCGUUGCUCUAGAUAAGAAGAGCUUUCAGGAAUCCUGUAUCAGUGACCUGCUGGAGCUGCACCUGGACGUGGAGCAAAGCAGCAGGAACUCUCUGGACAAUGAGGACAAUAAGAGCAGCAGACAACAUCUCUUCCACUACCUCUCACUCUGCUCCAAAGGUGAGGAGCUCCCACACAGCAGGCAUCAAGCAGAACUCCCAGCAGGGAGAGUGUGAGAUGUCUGUGGAUGAACUUACAUGGACUGGAGCUUCUGUGGGAAGACAUCUAGUGGUUCCUGGAGCAGCUGCAGCAGGCAGGACACAUGGA
Molecule: RNA transcript, 1528 nt
Organism: Mastomys coucha (southern multimammate mouse)
Lineage: Eukaryota; Metazoa; Chordata; Mammalia; Rodentia; Muridae
Gene name: FERM domain-containing protein 1-like
Exons: 5
Source: RefSeq, a predicted model, not a curated record